AGUGAACGCUGGCGGUAGGCCUAACACAUGCAAGUCGAACGGCAGCACAGUAAGAGCUUGCUCUUACGGGUGGCGAGUGGCGGACGGGUGAGGAAUACAUCGGAAUCUACUUUUUCGUGGGGGAUAACGUAGGGAAACUUACGCUAAUACCGCAUACGACCUACGGGUGAAAGCAGGGGAUCUUCGGACCUUGCGCGAUUGAAUGAGCCGAUGUCGGAUUAGCUAGUUGGCGGGGUAAAGGCCCACCAAGGCGACGAUCCGUAGCUGGUCUGAGAGGAUGAUCGGGCACACUGGAACUGAGAGACGGUCCAGACUCCUACGGGAGGCAGCAGUGGGGAAUAUUGGACAAUGGGCGCAAGCCUGAUCCAGCCAUACCGCGUGGGUGAAGAAGGCCUUCGGGUGGUAAAGCCCUUUUGGUGGGAAAGAAAAGAAGCAGGUUAAUACCCCGCUGUUCUGACGGUACCCAAAGAAUAAGCACCGGCUAACUUCGU
Molecule: ribosomal RNA, 491 nt
Filed under: uncultured bacterium
Lineage: Bacteria
Description: partial 16S ribosomal RNA
Rfam family: Bacterial small subunit ribosomal RNA
Source: RNAcentral